UUUGUCGGUACCGAGAAAUCUCAUCUUCAACAAAAAUGGGCUGGAAGUUCUUCGUUGGCGGCAACUGGAAAUGCGUUCCGAAGAAGAGCUUUGAACUGUUUCCUUCAAUCUAUGAAAAUGUACAAGUCGAGACCUCCAAGCACUCCAUUGCGAUGUAGAGGUCACCGAGAUCACGAUCGAUUUGGAGCUGCCAGGAAUUGUUAACGGCAUGGUGGAGUUUGAAGAGAAUGAGAGUGUGAUUACUGGUGAACUCGGUUAUUACACUAAGCGCACAAUGCCGAACCGGAAGCUGUUGAACUUUUAAUGGAGGUUGAAGACCUUGAUCUGUUAGUUGAGCAUGUUGAUAAGACAAAUUUUAAGAGGACUUGUCUCUACCUCACCAAUUCAGCAAGAAAUACCAUAAAGUGUAUUAGAGCACAUGGUUCCAUGAAUUCCAGUCUUCCACCAUCCCUAUCCCCAUCACUACCACCACUAGCUUGAAGUAAUAAAUUCUGUCAAACCAGUUGAAACGACACCUGUAAGGCCAGUAAGGAAGAUUCAACCAAGGCGCCGGAGAGAUAGGAGGACCCGGUAGUGUUUAUUUGUUUGUGUUUAUUUUGUUCUAAUGUUUUAUCAAGGAUGAUGUAUGAGA
Molecule: long non-coding RNA, 631 nt
Organism: Argentina anserina (silverweed cinquefoil)
Lineage: Eukaryota; Viridiplantae; Streptophyta; Magnoliopsida; Rosales; Rosaceae
Exons: 5
Source: RefSeq, a predicted model, not a curated record